CUUCACCGAACCGAGCCACAACGGCCGGUCCGCCGACCGCCCCUGGCCGUAGGUGGCCAGCAGCGCCUGCGCCUC
This 75-nucleotide antisense RNA is filed under the name Streptomyces sp. 846.5. Its description in RNAcentral is "ASpks TB sRNA". It matches the Rfam family "ASpks TB sRNA". The record is from Rfam by way of RNAcentral. Lineage: Bacteria; Bacillati; Actinomycetota; Actinomycetes; Kitasatosporales; Streptomycetaceae.